UCCGUAGGUGAACCUGCGGAGGGAUCAUUACACAAUAAACAUAUGAAGGCUGCACCGCCAGUUGGCGGCAAGGCUGGAGUAUUUUAUUACCCUUGUCUUUUGCGCACUUGUUGUUUCCUGGGCGGGUUCGCCCGCCACCAGGACCACAUGAUAAACCUUUUUUAUGCAGUUGCAAUCAGCGUCAGUACAACAAAUGUAAAUCAUUUACAACUUUCAACAACGGAUCUCUUGGUUCUGGCAUCGAUGAAGAACGCAGCGAAAUGCGAUACGUAGUGUGAAUUGCAGAAUUCAGUGAAUCAUCGAAUCUUUGAACGCACAUUGCGCCCUUUGGUAUUCCAAAGGGCAUGCCUGUUCGAGCGUCAUUUGUACCCUCAAGCUUUGCUUGGUGUUGGGCGUUUUGUCUUUGGUUGCCAAAGACUCGCCUUAAAACGAUUGGCAGCCGGCCUACUGGUUUCGCAGCGCAGCACAUUUUUGCGCUUGCAAUCAGCAAAAGAGGACGGCACUCCAUCAAGACUCUUUAUCACUUUUGACCUCGGAUCAGGUAGGGAUACCCGCUGAACUUAAGCAUAUCAAUAAGCGGAGGA
Molecule: ribosomal RNA, 584 nt
Filed under: Curvularia affinis
Lineage: Eukaryota; Fungi; Ascomycota; Dothideomycetes; Pleosporales; Pleosporaceae
Description: eukaryotic LSU rRNA
Rfam family: 5.8S ribosomal RNA (bases 209-362)
Source: RNAcentral